ACGAACGCUGGCGGCGUGCUUCACCCCUGCCGGUCGAACGGUGAAGCGCCUUCCUUUUUGGUGGGUGUGGAUGAGUGGCGAACGGGUGAGUAACACGUGAGUAACCUGCCCCCUUCUUCUGGAUAACCGCAUGAAAGUGUGGCUAAUACGGGAUAUUCUGGGUCUGUCGCAUGAUGGGUCUGGGAAAGAUAUUGUUUCGGUGGGGGAUGGGCUCGCGGCCUAUCAGCUUGUUGGUGGGGUGAUGGCCUACCAAGGCGGUGACGGGUAGCCGGCCUGAGAGGGUGGACGGUCACACUGGGACUGAGACACGGCCCAGACUCCUACGGGAGGCAGCAGUGGGGAAUAUUGCACAAUGGGCGCAAGGCUGAUGCAGCGACGCCGCGUGAGGGAUGGAGGCCUUCGGGUUGUGAACCUCUUUCGCCAGUGAAGCAGGCCUGCCUCGUUUGUGGGUGGGUUGACGGUAGCUGGAUAAGAAGCGCCGGCUAACUACGUG
RNAcentral lists this ribosomal RNA (493 nucleotides) under uncultured bacterium. Its description in RNAcentral is "partial 16S ribosomal RNA". It matches the Rfam family "Bacterial small subunit ribosomal RNA", at positions 29 to 507 of the family's 1533-position model. The record is from RNAcentral.